UGUAAGCGGGGAAUAACCCGUUGAAAGACGGACUAAUACCGACAUAAAUACUAAAUUACUGCAUGGUAAUUAUUUAAACAUUUAUGGCUUACAGAUGGGCAUGCGCAUGAUUAGCUAGUUGGAGAGGUAACGGCUCCCCAAGGCAACGAUCAUUAGGGGUUCUGAGAGGAAGGUCCCCCACACUGGUACUGAGACACGGACCAGACUCCUACGGGAGGCAGCAGUGAGGAAUAUUGGUCAAUGGACGAGAGUCUGAACCAGCCAAGUCGCGUGCAGGAAGAAUGUCCUUAAUGGAUUGUAAACUGCUUUUGCAGGGGAAUAAAGUGCAUCACGUGUGAUGUUUUGUAUGUACUCUGCGAAUUAAGGAUCGGCUAACUCCGUGCCAGCAGCCGC
Molecule: ribosomal RNA, 393 nt
Filed under: uncultured bacterium
Lineage: Bacteria
Description: bacterial SSU rRNA
Rfam family: Bacterial small subunit ribosomal RNA
Source: RNAcentral